Carlito syrichta (Philippine tarsier) is the source of this 69-nucleotide microRNA precursor. The record is from Ensembl. Lineage: Eukaryota; Metazoa; Chordata; Mammalia; Primates; Tarsiidae.
UUGAGGCUGCAGUGAGCUGUGAUCAUACCACUGCACUCCAGCCUGGGUGACAGAGCAAGACUCUGUCUC